Plesiocystis pacifica SIR-1 is the source of this 117-nucleotide ribosomal RNA. NCBI's taxonomy places the organism in Bacteria, Pseudomonadati, Myxococcota, Nannocystales, Nannocystaceae. The record is from Rfam.
UCUGGUGGUCAUGGCGGAGGGGCCAUACCCGAUCCCAUCCCGAACUCGGUAGUCAAGCCCUCCAGCGCUGAUGGUACUGCAGGGGCCACCCUGUGGGAGAGUAAGUCGCCGCCAGAU